UACGUAGGUCCCGAGCGUUAUCCGGAUUUACUGGGUGUAAAGGGAGCGUAGGCGGCGAUGCAAGUCAGAAGUGAAAGCCCGGGGCUCAACUCCGGGACUGCUUUUGAAACUGUGUUGCUAGAUUGCAGGAGAGGUAAGUGGAAUUCCUAGUGUAGCGGUGAAAUGCGUAGAUAUUAGGAGGAACACCAGUGGCGAAGGCGGCUUACUGGACUGUAAAUGACGCUGAGGCUCGAAAGCGUGGGGAGCAAACAGG
Molecule: ribosomal RNA, 253 nt
Filed under: uncultured bacterium
Lineage: Bacteria
Description: partial 16S ribosomal RNA
Rfam family: Bacterial small subunit ribosomal RNA
Source: RNAcentral